UUAUAACUGUUUGUUGUUCAUGGUUGGC
This 28-nucleotide non-coding RNA is filed under the name Mus musculus (house mouse). Lineage: Eukaryota; Metazoa; Chordata; Mammalia; Rodentia; Muridae. The record is from RNAcentral.